UGUAUCAUGUUCCAUGCAGUUUAUCAUAUUUAAGCGACAGCUUACCAAUACAAGGAGUAACUGCGCAAUUGUAAGGAGGAAAGUGCUUAGUAUCUGAUCUUUGCAUCGGGAAUUAACGCAGACAGUGGAAACCAUUCAGAUCGAGGACCGCCAAUAAAAAUAGAUAUGUCUGAAGAAAAAGAGAAAAAUUUAGAAGAAAAACAAAUAGAAACAUCAAGUAUCGAAAAUGGUGAAAAUAAUGAUCAAAAGUCAACUUUAAGAAAGACUGAAAUUGAUGGAGACACCACCACAGAAGAAGAUGAAGAGAAUGAAGAGGGGUUUGUGAUCAUUUAUUCAAGGACAAAAAGUGAUGAAGACCUGCAUAAAAUGUCCAGCUGCAUUGAAGAGGAAGACAAACUGUCCCCUCAUUAUCCGCUGCUUAAGAUAUAUCGGUCUCUAAUCUGUUUCGUACAGCAAGAUGCAUUUGACAAAGAGAUGCGACAGGAAUUAAAAGCAGCUGUCCCUGGUUACUUAAAUAAAUUGGAAAGAAGAAUGGAAGACCUCAAAAGGCUUGAUUGUGGAAUAACAAUAACGGGUGACACAAGCAGUGGAAAAACAAGCCUCAUCAAUAAAAUAACAGAAGGUGUGUGAACCAAGACAGCGUGCUGCAACUUCAACUAUUUGCAGAUAUCACAAUUCUGAUGAAAUGGCUUUGCAGAUUGUAUAUAAAUCUGGAAUGGUGUCACCCAGAGAAAGUUUUGUAAAAACAAAUGAUCUCAGAUCAAAACUUGGGAUUGUUUCUGAUGUAAAAAAGGGACCAGCAAGAGAUAUAAAAUAUGUUGAUGUGUUUUUUCCUAUUCCAAUCUUGCAGGACAAUCUGAUGUUUGUGGAUACGCCAGGAAUUGGGGAAACAGAAGAACUUACAUCUAAGUUAUUUGAUUACCUUUCGGAAUCAAUCUCAUUCAUAUUUUUGAUUGAUGUUUCCCAUCAUGGUGGUGUCGCAAAAGAUAGGCUCCAAAUUAUUCUCUCUAAAGUGCUUGAGAAGUGCCACUUAAUGCCAUGUUUUGAUCCAGAAGACGUGCUCUUUGUUACAAACAAAUAGCGUGUCUUUAAAAAAAGUUCUGACGAUGACGACGACGAUGAGGAAGAUGAAGCAUUAGAGUGUUGGAAUGAUCUGGUAGAAAAAUUACAAGUGGCCUGGCCGACUCUAAAUAUCCAACACAUCUUUAAGCUUAACCUUGAACAGAUCAGUCCUAAAGAUGAAACUGAAGACGAAAAAGCUGAAUUCAACCGUUUUCGAUCAACUCUUUCUGAAUUAAUUGAAAGAAAUAAAAGUAAGCGGGUCCGUCGCCACGUGAGCCUUUUGAAGAAUUUUCUAGAGGAUGUUGAUAGAGUCAUUUCAUCAAGAGUUCGAUUAGCAGAUGAAACUGAUGAGAAUCACAUUAAGGAUUUAGAAAAUAAGCGAGAUGAGUUGAAAAGGUCCCUGGAGGAAUGUAAAAUGAGUAUUUCAAAAUUAGACCAAAAAAUCGAAGAAACAGCUUCCAAAAUGGCACAAAAACUGUACUCUUUUCUGAAUUCUGAUGAAGGAAAGACUCUUAUCUUAAAUCCACCAGGAGAGUCAACAAUCAGCAGUUGUCUAAUGAUUGGUUUGAGUGGGGAAAUUUCUACACGAAUACAAACAGGAAUAAUGAAAUGGAUGAGAGACAAGGAUAUCAAGAAGCAAUAAAUGUAAUUGAAGAAGAAAUUUCUCGAGGAUUUGAAGGAAUUAACAUGAAUAUCGUAAAUGCUUAUUUGUCUUUAACUGGGAAAGAAAGCCGAAAUAAUUUAUGGACUGUUUUUAAGUAUACUGUAUCAGCACCAGUGUGGUUGCCCUUACUUGUAGGUGAUGGACUGCUUGCUAUUAUAGGAACAAUACUUGUUCUCCCUGUUGCUAUUGGAAUGGACAUUUUCACGUCUGAGGAAAAGAAAAUAGAAGCAAUUAGAAUUUGCUACAGCAAACAAAUGGAAGCUUAUUCAAAAGAAAAACUUGAGAAAAUCAUAUUACCUCCUCUUAAACAACAGAAUCCGUGUAGCAUUUACAAUACUGAUUCCAAGACAAAUCAAAAUCACGCUUUUAACUUUUGCUUUUGUUUUGGAUAGAAAGGCAUAUAUCCUAAAACAUAAGAUGGUGUACAAGAGGAUGAACGAAGAACUAGAGGAAAUGAAAAGGAACGUGGCGGAAAUUGAUGAUAAAAGUUAAUUUCUUUUUUAUUAUAGAGUAACAGAGAGGUACAUGUAGUAUAUCUUGCUCUGGUAGGUCAUUUUCCCAUUUGGAAACUAUUUUAUUCAUUUAUACUGUCAUAAACAUCCAUUCAGAUAAUUGUGUGAACACAUUUAUGUAAACAUGAUUUUCGUUUGUAUUUAUUAGAAUUAAAUGGUUUUAAUAUAUAAAAAAUAUUAUAUUUCUUAUGAAUUU
Molecule: long non-coding RNA, 2434 nt
Organism: Saccostrea cuccullata (small rock oyster)
Lineage: Eukaryota; Metazoa; Mollusca; Bivalvia; Ostreida; Ostreidae
Exons: 10
Source: RefSeq, a predicted model, not a curated record